RNAcentral lists this ribosomal RNA (445 nucleotides) under uncultured bacterium. RNAcentral describes it as "bacterial SSU rRNA". It matches the Rfam family "Bacterial small subunit ribosomal RNA", at positions 331 to 792 of the family's 1533-position model. The record is from RNAcentral.
CCAGACUCCUACGGGAGGCAGCAGUGGGGAAUAUUGCACAAUGGGGGGAACCCUGAUGCAGCGACGCCGCGUGGGUGAAGGAGUAUUUCGGUAUGUAAAGCCCUAUCAGCAGGGAAGAACAAUGACGGUACCUGACUAAGAAGCACCGGCUAACUACGUGCCAGCAGCCGCGGUAAUACGUAGGGGGCAAGCGUUAUCCGGAUUUACUGGGUGUAAAGGGAGCGUAGACGGUUAUGUAAGUCUGGAGUGAAAGCCCGGGGCCCAACCCCGGGACUGCUUUGGAAACUGUGUAACUGGAGUACAGGAGGGGCAGGCGGAAUUCCUGGUGUAGCGGUGAAAUGCGUAGAUACCAGGAGGAACACCGGCGGCGAAGGCGGCCUGCUGGACUGAAACUGACGUUGAGGCUCGAAAGCGUGGGGAGCAAACAGGAUUAGAUACCCCAGUA